CGAAUGAAAGCUUCUGGCUUAGUGGCGCACGGGUGCGUAACGCGUGGGAAUCUGCCUUGGGGUUCGGAAUAACAGUUGGAAACGACUGCUAAUACCGGAUGAUGACGUAAGUCCAAAGAUUUAUCGCCCUGAGAUGAGCCCGCGUCGGAUUAGCUAGUUGGUGGGGUAAAGGCCUACCAAGGCGACGAUCCGUAGCUGGUCUGAGAGGAUGAUCAGCCACACUGGGACUGAGACACGGCCCAGACUCCUACGGGAGGCAGCAGUAGGGAAUAUUGGACAAUGGGCGAAAGCCUGAUCCAGCAAUGCCGCGUGAGUGAUGAAGGCCUUAGGGUUGUAAAGCUCUUUUACCCGGGAUGAUAAUGACAGUACCGGGAGAAUAAGCCCCGGCUAACUCCGUGCCAGCAGCCGCGGUAAUACGGAGGGGGCUAGCGUUGUUCGGAAUUACUGGGCGUAAAGCGCACGUAGGCGGCUUUGUAAGUCAGAGGUGAAAGCCUGGAGCUCAACUCCAGAACUGCCUUUGAGACUGCAUCGCUUGAAUCCAGGAGAGGUGAGUGGAAUUCCGAGUGUAGAGGUGAAAUUCGUAGAUAUUCGGAAGAACACCAGUGGCGAAGGCGGCUCACUGGACUGGUAUU
Molecule: ribosomal RNA, 632 nt
Filed under: Sphingomonas sp. UAPS0110
Lineage: Bacteria; Pseudomonadati; Pseudomonadota; Alphaproteobacteria; Sphingomonadales; Sphingomonadaceae
Description: bacterial SSU rRNA
Rfam family: Bacterial small subunit ribosomal RNA
Source: RNAcentral